GGGCCAAGAAGUCCAGGAAGGGCCUGCUCCUCUUCAUCGACGAGGCCGAUGCCUUCUUGUGCGAGUAAGCGGCCCCUCCAUCUCUCCUUGUGGCAUGACGUCCGGCGGCACGACGAUGGCCGCCAAUAAUCUCCGCAUGGGCCUGUUGAGAGAGAGAGAAACAGGGAGAUGAGGGCGGAGGAGGAUGGUGAUGAUGGAAUGCGAGGAGAUGUUCAACUUCACAUUCGUGUUGUUAGCUGUCGGGAGCUCUGGAUAUGGAAAUGCUCUUGUUCUGUAGAUGAUGAGGACUUUAAUUUCGGGGAGUUUCUCGGAGAGGAAGUGAGCAAGGAUUCUUACUUUCAUGGCUGCUGCUGGGUUUUAUUUCUUGCAGGAGGAACAGCGUUCGAAUGAGCGAGGCCCAGCGGAGCGCCCUCAACGCGCUGCUCUUCCGGACCGGCGACCAGUCGAGAGACGUCGUCCUCGUCCUGGCCACCAACCGCCCCGGGG
RNAcentral lists this long non-coding RNA (486 nucleotides) under Spirodela polyrhiza (greater duckweed). RNAcentral describes it as "long non-coding RNA (SPOL_LNC001119)". The record is from RNAcentral. Lineage: Eukaryota; Viridiplantae; Streptophyta; Magnoliopsida; Alismatales; Araceae.